GCGAAAGCAGGUCAUAGUGAUCCGGUGGUUCUGAAUGGAAGGGCCAUCGCUCAACGGAUAAAAGGUACUCCGGGGAUAACAGGCUGAUACCGCCCAAGAGUUCAUAUCGACGGCGGUGUUUGGCACCUCGAUGUCGGCUCAUCACAUCCUGGGGCUGAAGUAGGUCCCAAGGGUAUGGCUGUUCGCCAUUUAAAGUGGUACGCGAGCUGGGUUUAGAACGUCGUGAGACAGUUCGGUCCCUAUCUGCCGUGGGCGCUGGAGAACUGAGGGGGGCUGCUCCUAGUACGAGAGGACCGGAGUGGACGCAUCACUGGUGUUCGGGUUGUCAUGCCAAUGGCACUGCCCGGUAGCUAAAUGCGGAAGAGAUAAGUGCUGAAAGCAUCUAAGCACGAAACUUGCCCCGAGAUGAGUUCUCCCUGACCCUUUAAGGGUCCUGAAGGAACGUUGAAGACGACGACGUUGAUAGGCCGGGUGUGUAAGCGCAGCGAUGCGUUGAG
Molecule: ribosomal RNA, 497 nt
Filed under: Escherichia coli
Lineage: Bacteria; Pseudomonadati; Pseudomonadota; Gammaproteobacteria; Enterobacterales; Enterobacteriaceae
Description: partial 23S ribosomal RNA
Rfam family: Bacterial large subunit ribosomal RNA
Source: RNAcentral